This 495-nucleotide ribosomal RNA is filed under the name uncultured bacterium. RNAcentral's name for it is "partial 16S ribosomal RNA". It matches the Rfam family "Bacterial small subunit ribosomal RNA", at positions 28 to 507 of the family's 1533-position model. The record is from RNAcentral.
GACGAACGCUGGCGGCGUGCCUAAUACAUGCAAGUAGAACGCUGAAGGAGGAGCUUGCUCUUCUGGAUGAGUUGCGAACGGGUGAGUAACGCGUAGGUAACCUGCCUGGUAGCGGGGGAUAACUAUUGGAAACGAUAGCUAAUACCGCAUAAGAGUAGAUGUUGCAUGACAUUUGCUUAAAAGGUGCAAUUGCAUCACUACCAGAUGGACCUGCGUUGUAUUAGCUAGUUGGUGGGGUAACGGCUCACCAAGGCGAGGAUACAUAGCCGACCUGAGAGGGUGAUCGGCCACACUGGGACUGAGACACGGCCCAGACUCCUACGGGAGGCAGCAGUAGGGAAUCUUCGGCAAUUGACGGAAGUCUGACCGAGCAACGCCGCGUGAGUGAAGAAGGUUUUCGGAUCGUAAAGCUCUGUUGUAAGAGAAGAACGAGUGUGAGAGUGGAAAGUUCACACUGUGACGGUAUCUUACCAGAAAGGGACGGCUAACUACGUG